RNAcentral lists this ribosomal RNA (439 nucleotides) under Cervus hanglu yarkandensis (Yarkand deer). Its description in RNAcentral is "partial 12S ribosomal RNA". It matches the Rfam family "Bacterial small subunit ribosomal RNA", at positions 769 to 1404 of the family's 1533-position model. Lineage: Eukaryota; Metazoa; Chordata; Mammalia; Artiodactyla; Cervidae. The record is from RNAcentral.
AAACUGGGAUUAGAUACCCCACUAUGCCUAGCCUUAAACACAAAUAGUCAUGCAAACAAAACUAUUCGCCAGAGUACUACCGGCAAUAGCUUAAAACUCAAAGGACUUGGCGGUGCUUUAUACCCUUCUAGAGGAGCCUGUUCUAUAAUCGAUAAACCCCGAUAAACCUCACCAUUCCUUGCUAAUACAGUCUAUAUACCGCCAUCUUCAGCGAACCCUAAAAAGGUACAAAAGUAAGCACAAUCAUAAUACAUAAAAACGUUAGGUCAAGGUGUAACCUAUGGAACGGAAAGAAAUGGGCUACAUUUUCUAAUCUAAGAAAAUCCAGCACGAAAGUUAUUAUGAAAUUAAUAACCAAAGGAGGAUUUAGCAGUAAACUAAGAAUAGAGUGCUUAGUUGAAUUAGGCCAUGAAGCACGCACACACCGCCCGUCACCCUC